UACUCUAAUCAUAUCACUACUCAAACUUUUCAAAAACCCUAUUGAAAACAUGACAUUUUUAACUGCUUUCCCUGGCAUUUAAGACUUUCCACAACUUGCUUCUUCAGCCUUAUUCAUAUUCUACCCCUUCUUAUAUUCGAACUGUCCCCUCCCAAUCCUGUCCUCUCCAGUGUUAAUGUUUUUGCUCAUGAAAUCCUCUUUGUUUAGAACAGACUCCUCCUUUUUACCAUAUUUCUAUUUAAGUUCCUCUUUUGUCUCAAGGUGCAGCUCAGAAACCACUUCCUCCAUGAAACUGUCCCUGAUAUGCUCUCCCUCCACCCCCACCCCAGAAAUAAUCUUUCCUUCUGUAAAUUUCUUGUAGCAUUUUGUGUGGCUCCAUCUUGCCCCUAGUAUAGCCUACCUUGUAUCAUUAUUUAUUUGUAUUCAUGUCAUUUCCUUCAUCCCAUUAGAUUUCAAGCUCAUUCAUGACAAGGUCUCUAUCAUUUUCUAACUUUGCAUCUCAGUCAUCCAGCAUAGGAGCUGCUUACUAAAUGGGGUUUACAAAAACACUUUUCUCAUAUGAGUUAAACAGAGCUUCAGUGAGCCACUCAACAGUCUUACUUCGGAACAUUGACUGGGGUCGGAGAGGAGCACUCUGGGAAGCCCAUAAGCCCUCUCUC
Sarcophilus harrisii (Tasmanian devil) is the source of this 659-nucleotide long non-coding RNA. RefSeq lists it as uncharacterized. The transcript is spliced from 3 exons. The record is from RefSeq and is a predicted model, not a curated record. Lineage: Eukaryota; Metazoa; Chordata; Mammalia; Dasyuromorphia; Dasyuridae.